This is an unclassified non-coding RNA of Ursus americanus (American black bear), 295 nucleotides long. Its record names the gene 7SK. It matches the Rfam family "7SK RNA". From Rfam's summary of the family: 7SK was discovered as an abundant small nuclear RNA in the mid-70s but a possible function has only recently been suggested. Two independent studies have found that 7SK RNA binds the CDK9/cyclin T complex (known as elongation factor P-TEFb). P-TEFb activates transcription by phosphorylating the C-terminal domain of RNA polymerase II. NCBI's taxonomy places the organism in Eukaryota, Metazoa, Chordata, Mammalia, Carnivora, Ursidae. The record is from Ensembl.
GGGUGUGAGGGCAAUCUGGCUGUGACAUCUGUCACCCCAUUGAUCACUACGGUUGAUUCAGCUGACCUGGCUGGCUAGGCAGGUGUCCUCUUCUUCCUUCACUGUUCAUGUGUGUCCCUCCUGAAGCUGUGUGUUUGAUCAAAGCUGACAACCUUCCGUAAUAGAGGAGGACCAUUCUUUGGCCAAGGGUAUAUGAGUAGCUGUGCUCCGCUGCUAGAAUCUCCAACAAACUUUCAAAGUUAUUGUGAAUUACAUAAUAUGAUUUCAAAGAGAAGGAAACAUUCGGAAAAUGUCC